UGGGGAAUAUUGCACAAUGGGCGCAAGCCUGAUGCAGCCAUGCCGCGUGUGUGAAGAAGGCCUUCGGGUUGUAAAGCACUUUCAGCGGGGAGGAAGGCGGUGAGGUUAAUAACCUCAUCGAUUGACGUUACCCGCAGAAGAAGCACCGGCUAACUCCGUGCCAGCAGCCGCGGUAAUACGGAGGGUGCAAGCGUUAAUCGGAAUUACGGGGCGUAAAGCGCACGCAGGCGGUCUGUCAAGUCGGAUGUGAAAUCCCCGGGCUCAACCUGGGAACUGCAUUCGAAACUGGCAGGCUAGAGUCUUGUAGAGGGGGGUAGAAUUCCAGGUGUAGCGGUGAAAUGCGUAGAGAUCUGGAGGAAUACCGGUGGCGAAGGCGGCCCCCUGGACAAAGACUGACGCUCAGGUGCGAAAGCGUGGGGAGCAAACAGG
This 429-nucleotide ribosomal RNA is filed under the name Chloroflexota bacterium. Its description in RNAcentral is "Chloroflexi bacterium partial 16S ribosomal RNA". It matches the Rfam family "Bacterial small subunit ribosomal RNA", at positions 355 to 776 of the family's 1533-position model. The record is from RNAcentral. Lineage: Bacteria; Bacillati; Chloroflexota.